GGCUAUGGCAUAUCUCGUGUGUGACACCAUGAGUUUGAAUCCUAUGACUCUUAUUUAACGACUGAUUGUUGUCAAGAUAAUGAAGAACAACACUAAGGUAAGAUGUUCUUUGGUGUUGGGAUGUCCAGAUGCCCGAUGUUACAGCAAAUGAAAAACUAGUAGUCUACCUUAUAGUUGAACAAAUAGUUUUACUCAUUCAUCAUUCAUCAUGUCACACAUCCAACGCUCCAAAGAGUUACAUCCAAGGGCUCCGUACCUUCCUCUAGAUCCACCCGCACCUGCUCCAAAUCGCGCCUCUCUUGUGCACCUCCCUUCCAUCCGCCGCCCAGAUCACGCCUCCCACCCGCGCCGACUCCGCCCUCUUUCUCUCCCUCGACGCCCACCGAUCCUGGCUCGCCGGCGGCGGGGUGCGGGCGGCCCCGGCGCGCUCGGCGAAGGAGCCUCGCCUGGCGGCGUCCGCGUCACUCUCGGGGCCUUCCGCACGCGGCCGGCGCCUCUCGGGGAUGGUCUCUGGCCUCGACCUUGGCCUCCUCAACACGUCGCGCGCCGGCCCACUCCGCUGCCCGAUUGCCGGCGCCGUCGAGACAGGCACGCGCGUGUUCGCGGAACUCGACGACCUCGACACCGCCGCCUUCGAGUCGCCGUCCGCCGAGGAGGAGGAGGCGACCAAGUGCCCGCAGUCGGUCAUGCACUCCGCCGACGAGUUCCAUGGGAGGGGCCGCAUGGUGGAGUUGUCGUGCGGGCUGACGCUGGGGGUGACCCUAAGAUCGCGGUGCUGAGCAAGGGGGAGCAACCGAUCAUGGUGUCGCAGUUCAUGAUGGAGCUUCGGGGGCUAAAGACCGUCGACGGCGAGGACCCGCCGCACAUCCUCCACUUCAACCCACGCCUCCGCGGUGACUGGAGCAGCAGGCCGGUGAUUGAGCAGAACACCUGCUACCGAAUGCAGUGGGGCGCCCCGCUCCGCUGUGAGGGCUGGAAGUCCCACUCUGAUGAGGAGACCGGUUGGGGACCCCUGCAAUUCCAGUUUGAUUAUGUUAGUUCAGAUAGACGUUCCAAGGAAUCAACGACAACCUGGCUGAACCGGCUGAUCGGACAGAAGGAGAUGAAUUUUGAUUGGCCUUAUCCUUUUGUGGAGGGCCGAUUGUUUGUUCUUACUAUCAGCGCUGGGUUGGAGGGGUACCAUGUGAACGUCGACGGGCGACAUGUGACUUCUUUUCCAUACCGUCCUGGGUUUGUUCUUGAGGAUGCCACAGGUUUAUCAUUGAGUGGGGACCUUGAUGUGCAAUCAGUGUUUGCAGGGUCCUUACCCACUACACACCCAAGCUUUACCACAGAGUUACCUGGAUAUGUCAACUGUUUGGCAGUCCUCUCCUCUGCCUAAUGAACCUGUUGACAUUUUCAUUGGCAUCUUGUCAUCUGGCAAUCAUUUUGCUGAGCGCAUGGGUGUGAGGAAGACAUGGAUGUCUGCUGUCCGAAACUCACCAAAUGUGGUAGCUCGUUUCUUUGUUGCACUGCAUGGCCGAAAAGAAGUGAAUGUGGAGUUGAAAAAGGAAGCAGAAUUUUUUGGGGACAUUGUUUUGUGCCGUUCCUGGACAACUAUGAUUCAGUUGUUUUGAAGACUCUUGCAAUAUGUGAAUAUGGGGUUCAUGUUGUCUCUGCUAGGUAUGUAAUGAAGUGCGAUGAUGAUACUUUUGUCAGACUUGAUUCAAUAAUAACUGAAGUCAACAAGGUACAAAGUGGCAGAGGCCUCUACAUAGGAAAUAUCAACUUCCAUCACAGGUCGCUACGUCAUGGGAAAUGGGCUGUAACUUAUGAGGAGUGGCCGGAGGAGGUCUAUCCACCCUAUGCAAAUGGUCCUGGAUAUGUUAUAUCUUCUGAUAUUGCUGGUGCCAUUGUGUCAGAAUUCAGAGACCGAAAACUGAGGGUUCUAUCUUAUAGUUUUCUGUAAAAAAAAUUUCCAUUACUCUGCACAUUAACUGUCCUUUUAUUAGUACAUAUGCAGUAUGGGCCUGCCCUCCUGUUUUCCCCUAAAAAGGAGAAUACCUUAAUUAUCACUUUGAACAGUUGGUUUAGAAAGCAUAAAAAAUAUAUAUAGGAUGAAAGAGACAAUAGAUUAACUUCACCAAAUGAACUAUAUAUGAUUCUUCUUCCAUGACAAUUUAGUAAUGACCAAUAAGAACCUUCCCUUAUUUGGUACUCCCUCUGUUUCAGAUUAUAAGACAUAGGACAGGAAGAAACUCAAGAAAGAGUAAAUGUAUUGUGUUUUAAUAAUUAAAGACUUAAUUUGAACUAAUUGUGCUACAUUUUGAUAAUUUAAGAUGUAACCGUACUUUUGUGCUUGAGUUUUUUUGUUUUGACUUGCUGUAGGUCUGGGUCUGCCACUGAUUGGGACGAGAGCGACGGGAGGCGGGCAGCCUUCGUGCAGGUCAGAAGCAGUGUAGUAGCGCCUCGGCGGCAGUUCAAUGCCUGCUGGGACUGGCAUCUUCCCGAUGCCGAUGACAGUGGGUGCGUCCCUGCUCCUGAUCCGUCGCUGAUCCUUGGGAAGUAGGAUUGGUGAACUAUCAGCAUACCAUUCUUUUGAAUCAACAUAUUCCUAUUUCUAAAGGCGAGAAAAGGAAAAGGUAGGCAUAUUGCACUUGUAAUUACAUGUGAAUGACUCUGUAUGUGCUACUCUUAUUUUUGAGAGAACCCUUCUGAUAGCUCAAGUGAAGCUGAUCAUGCUAUGAGUUUUACAUAUCAGUAAGUUUUGUGUGUAAAUCAAUAUGCUGUGAGGAAGAAGUAUAAUUUAUUGGUCAGCAUUAUUUUCAUUUA
Molecule: non-coding RNA, 2811 nt
Organism: Oryza sativa Japonica Group (Japanese rice)
Lineage: Eukaryota; Viridiplantae; Streptophyta; Magnoliopsida; Poales; Poaceae
Source: RefSeq, a predicted model, not a curated record